RNAcentral lists this long non-coding RNA (573 nucleotides) under Androctonus crassicauda. The record is from RNAcentral. Lineage: Eukaryota; Metazoa; Arthropoda; Arachnida; Scorpiones; Buthidae.
AUUAGAAGAGAAAAUAAUUGAUUUAUUUUCCAUUUGAACAGUAUUAUAUUGUUUGAAUAAUAGGAUGAAAUGAAAUAAAAGCAUGAUUUAUCUAUAAAAUGCUGCAUAGUAUUACUUAUGAAUAAAAUAAAAUUAAUUUCUAAUCAAAGAUAACUUAGAAUUAACAAGUGCUAUGUCCACAAUUAAUUUUUUAAUGCCAGUUCUCAAUCAUUCACUAAUUCUAAACAGCUCUACCACUACAAGUCCUAUCAUAAGUCUCCAACAUUCAUGGAAGAUCUGCUGGAUUGUACAAGAUGAUGAUCAACAAGCUGGCAUGGAUCUCUCAUAUAAAUUUUCUAAUAGAUGGAUUUCUAAUUUGAUCCAGAGUCGUUUGAUUGGAAAGCCAAAGAGUUUCCACCUAAUGUGAAUAUCCUGGAUGUUAUAUACACUGUGUCUGAAUAACAUAUUAAUUAAACUAUAUUUUAAUUAGUACUUAUAUAAGAUAUGGUUACCUUAUUUUCUUUAUCACUAUAUGGUUUCCGUUCUGUUCUAUUAUGAAGAGAAAUAUAAGAAAUAAUCUUUAUUACAUUUCAC